AGCAGCUUGGCGCAGUGGAAGCGCGGUAUGUUUACUCACAAUUACUUGAGUUAAAGAUUCGUACUAACUCUCCAUAGCCGGGCUCAUAACCCGGAGGUCACUGGAUCGAAACCAGUAGCUGCUA
Molecule: transfer RNA, 124 nt
Filed under: Fusarium equiseti
Lineage: Eukaryota; Fungi; Ascomycota; Sordariomycetes; Hypocreales; Nectriaceae
Description: tRNA-Met
Rfam family: tRNA
About the family: Transfer RNA (tRNA) molecules are approximately 80 nucleotides in length.
Source: RNAcentral